RNAcentral lists this ribosomal RNA (301 nucleotides) under uncultured bacterium. Its description in RNAcentral is "partial 16S ribosomal RNA". It matches the Rfam family "Bacterial small subunit ribosomal RNA", at positions 509 to 807 of the family's 1533-position model. The record is from RNAcentral.
CAGCAGCCACGGGAAUACGAAGGGGGCUAGCGUUGUUCGGAAUUACUGGGCGUAAAGGGCGCGUAGGCGGCCAUUCAAGUUAGAUGUGAAAGCCCUGGGCUCAACCUAGGAAUUGCAUUUGAUACUGUUUGGCUUGAGUUCGGGAGAGGUGAGUGGAAUUCCCAGUGUAGAGGUGAAGUUCGUAGAUAUUGGGAAGAACACCAGUGGCGAAGGCGGCUCACUGGACCGACACUGACGCUGAGGCGCGAAAGCGUGGGGAGCAAACAGGAUUAGAUACCCGCGUAGUCCCUGUCUCUUAUAC